RNAcentral lists this ribosomal RNA (253 nucleotides) under uncultured bacterium. Its description in RNAcentral is "partial 16S ribosomal RNA". It matches the Rfam family "Bacterial small subunit ribosomal RNA", at positions 524 to 776 of the family's 1533-position model. The record is from RNAcentral.
UACGUAGGGGGCUAGCGUUGUCCGGAAUUACUGGGCGUAAAGCGCGCGUAGGCGGCUUUGCAAGUCGGGUGUGAAAUCCCCAGGCUCAACCUGGGAACUGCAUUCGAGACUGCAUUGCUAGAGUAUGGGAGAGGGAAGUGGAAUUUCCGGUGUAGCGGUGAAAUGCGUAGAUAUCGGAAGGAACAUCAGUGGCGAAAGCGACUUCCUGGACCAAUACUGACGCUCAUGUGCGAAAGCGUGGGGAGCGAACAGG